Long non-coding RNA from Neolamprologus brichardi, 1705 nucleotides. RefSeq lists it as uncharacterized. The record is from RefSeq and is a predicted model, not a curated record. Lineage: Eukaryota; Metazoa; Chordata; Actinopteri; Cichliformes; Cichlidae.
UGUUUUGUAGACAUUCCUCAGUGUGUCGAUGUCUGUAUUUGAUGCGUGGUGGAGUUGGCGCAACAAAGCAGUGGUGUGGCAUACCUCUGUAUCCCAUCAACAGUGACCCAGAUUGUUGGCGUUGGAGUAGGUUUUAGAGCUUGCUGAUCUUGCGUCGAUCAAGUUACCUGCUUCUCGCUCACAUAAGGCAGCAUAUCAAUCUGACAAAGAUGCUCAACAUUCCUGAAAGGCUCGCAGGUCGGCACUGUUGUUGUGAACAGGCACUGCUGCUCGGAUGCAGGGGUCUGGUCAAUACUGGUAGGACCUUGGAGUAACCAACCAAGCUUGGUAUAGACAGCGAUGGGUCCCCCUGUUGGACCCAAAUGAACUGGUUCUGUGGGUGUCAGGAGAUGAGGCAUGUCAGAGCCGAUAAGCAGCAGAGGUUGAACAUGGUCUACCAAAGGCAGAGGUAAGUCACGCAAGUGUUUAUAGUGACGCUGGAGAAUCUUCACUGGAUGCAAAUGUUCUGAGAGACCAAGAGCAUCAGCGGUGAAUGCCUUGUGUAUAUGAUACUUCUCCCCAGAUUUGUAGGGGGAGGAUACUUGGAAGGAAACUGAGGCACUGCGAAGCUACACUACCUCUUGGUGGACAGUCCGCACGAUGCUAUAGAUCGAAGUGUGAGAAGAAGCAUAAACCCAUUUUUCAAGGCAAUUUCGAUGACAUCAUCUCUGUAGAUCCUCUGGAGCUGAGUAACGUUGUCCGUGAAAGAUCGCAACAAGGGGGAGAAGAAGAAGAUGAUGAUGUUAUUGUUGUUGACGUACACCAGGAAGAGAAGAAUUUAAAAAAAAGAUCUUAAAAGUGAAGGUAAACAUGCUCAGGUCUCUGCCAUUUUUUAAAUACAAGAAUAUGACAUGUAAUUCAUCCGAUCCUGGCUCUAGCGCUCCUUCCGACCUUGAGUGGUAUUAUCGUGUACUAGAUUGUCGCUUUUUGUUGUGUUUUUCUUUUCUUUUUCUUUUUUUAUUUCUUGACAAAGGGAAUCAGGAAUAUAUCGAGCUGGGUCACCACUAUAGACAAUCCGGCAGAGGAGGAGGAAGAGGGAGUUGAAGCAUCCCGAGCUCUCCCUCCUAUCACACCCAAACCUUGCGGGCUGCACGUCAGGAGACUCGGAGACUCUGCAUGCCCAGCCUGAGGACCUGCUGCUACUGAUCUGUUGUGAGUGUGGUGAGUCGGUGAGGUGUGAGCAUGAAGAGGAAUCCCUGGGAGGAGAAGCCCCCAUGUGUGAAUAACCCGCUUGUGUUUUGACCUCACUGCCUUUGUGACCCCUGGAGACCCCAACCUCCUUUCCCUUUACCUGUACAUAGUAGCACUUGGUGUAAGAAAAGAAACUAACUGAUCUCUGUGAUUCCAGUCUGCGUCUGAGUCCCUCCUGAGCUCGUGACAGAUUCACUUGUUGAAUAAUGUUCAUUGCAGUCUCAUUUAUGUUGAUGUAAAUAUCUGGAAUUAUAACAUUGUUUGUUUGAAGUUCUGGUAAUGGCCCUUCUUCAUGGAGGUGAGAGUUAACAUAAAUGUUAUUUAUAAAUGACUGUAUUCCAACAUUGUUUGUGACACCUGUAUGCCACAGCUGAAAAGGUGUCUGUCCUCCUUGUGUAGAGAGACUUCCACUUAUUGACAAAUUCUGUUAAUGCUCUUUCAGUCCUUGGCAAAUAAACAUAAUGCACACAAAAAA